Molecule: small nuclear RNA, 105 nt
Organism: Symphalangus syndactylus (siamang)
Lineage: Eukaryota; Metazoa; Chordata; Mammalia; Primates; Hylobatidae
Source: RefSeq, a predicted model, not a curated record
GUGCUUACUUCAGUAACAUAUAUACCAAAAUUGGAACAAUACAGAGAUGAUUAGCAUAGCUCCUGUGCAAGAGUGACACACAUUUGUGAAGCAUUCCAUAUUUGU